UACGUAGGGUGCGAGCGUUAAUCGGAUUUACUGGGCGUAAAGCGUACGCAGGCGGCCCGUUAAGACAGGUGUGAAAUCCCUGGGCUCAACCUAGGAAUUGCGCUUGUGACUGGCGGGCUCGAGUACGGUAGAGGGGGGUGGAAUUCCUGGUGUAGCAGUGAAAUGCGUAGAGAUCAGGAGGAACACCGAUGGCGAAGGCAGCCCCCUGGGCCUGUACUGACGCUCAUGCACGAAAGCGUGGGGAGCAAACAGG
Molecule: ribosomal RNA, 253 nt
Filed under: uncultured microorganism
Description: partial 16S ribosomal RNA
Rfam family: Bacterial small subunit ribosomal RNA
Source: RNAcentral